Molecule: non-coding RNA, 638 nt
Organism: Triticum urartu
Lineage: Eukaryota; Viridiplantae; Streptophyta; Magnoliopsida; Poales; Poaceae
Source: RefSeq, a predicted model, not a curated record
AGGUAGGGUUUGAUGCGCCUUUCAUACGAAAUGUUGAUGAGAAUUACCCAAGUAGUCCAGGUAUGAGGCUGUGCGGAUAUAGUAAUCAUAAUUUUCAGUGGCAUCGGCAUGUUCUAAUAAAUAAGAUGGGAAGUUCAGAAUAAUGUAACAUCGGCAUGUUCUAAUAAAUAAAAUAAGAGAAGGUUGGGUAUACUGAAGCAGACCCCUUAUAACGGUUUAUAAAGUUGAAGGAUGAAACUUGAACGAACACAAUUCUGAGGUUUGUAAAGUGAAGCCAAAGACAAGUUCGAGGGGUAAUGUGGACUUCUCUCAAACUAUAUUAUUAGAGGACAAUGAGGGUCUUGAAGACAAUGAAAGCGAUCAGUUUCUGCUGGUUUUGUUUUGUUGUAGGCGAAGUUCUUAAUUAUAAUUAUCAAUGUGUUUGUUUUUCUUAAGGACGCAGUGACAUGCAAGGCGAGGGAAAUUGAAGCCAAAACAUGCAGGACGGCCAGGAGUGUGCCAUUUUUUCUAUGACAGGGGGUGGUUCUUCAAUCUUCAGGGAAUCAAGUGGUAGCAUCAGAUACUGACAUGCAUGGAAGGUAGCAGUAUAUGUAUUUGUAGCAAAUCAUCAUCGCCCAUAAAUAAAUCAUCUCUUGCCC